GACGAACGCUGGCGGCGUGCUUAACACAUGCAAGUCGAACGGAAAGGCCCUGCUUUUGUGGGGUUCUCGAGUGGCGAACGGGUGUGUAACACGUGAGUAACCUGCCCUUGACUUUGUGAUAACUUCAGGAAACUGGGGCUACUACAGGAUAGGAGCUCCUGCUGCAUGGUGGGGGUUGGAAAGUUUCGGCGGUUGGGGAUGGACUCGCGGCUUAUCAGCUUGUUGGUGGGGUAGUGGCUUACCAAGGCUUUGACGGGUAGCCGGCCUGAGAGGGUAAACGGCCACAUGGCGACUAAGAGACGGCCCAGACGCCUACGGGGGGCAACAGGGGGGAAUAUUGCACAAUGGGCGGAAGCCUGAUGCAGAAACGCCGCGUGCGUGAUGACGGCCUUCGGGUUGUAAACCGCUUUCGCCUGAGACGAAGCGUUAGUGACGGUAAUGGGUAAAGAAGCACCGGCUAACUACGUG
Molecule: ribosomal RNA, 468 nt
Filed under: uncultured bacterium
Lineage: Bacteria
Description: partial 16S ribosomal RNA
Rfam family: Bacterial small subunit ribosomal RNA
Source: RNAcentral